UACGAGGGGGGCGAGCGUUGUUCGGAAUUAUUGGGCGUAAAGGGUGCGUAGGCGGCCUGACAAGUCUGAUGUGAAAUCUCCGGGCUCAACUCGGAGUCUGCAUCAGAAACUGCCGUGCUUGAGUGUGGGAGAGGUGAGUGGAAUUCCCGGUGUAGCGGUGAAAUGCGUAGAUAUCGUCUGGAACGCCGAAGGUGAAAACAGCUCGCUGGGGUUGUGCUGACGCUGAGACACGAAAGCCAGGGGAGCGAACGGG
RNAcentral lists this ribosomal RNA (253 nucleotides) under uncultured bacterium. RNAcentral's name for it is "partial 16S ribosomal RNA". It matches the Rfam family "Bacterial small subunit ribosomal RNA", at positions 524 to 776 of the family's 1533-position model. The record is from RNAcentral.